This 460-nucleotide ribosomal RNA is filed under the name uncultured bacterium. Its description in RNAcentral is "partial 16S ribosomal RNA". It matches the Rfam family "Bacterial small subunit ribosomal RNA", at positions 338 to 795 of the family's 1533-position model. The record is from RNAcentral.
CCUACGGGAGGCAGCAGUGAGGAAUAUUGGUCAAUGUACGAGAGUCUGAACCAGCCAAGUAGCGUGAAGGAUGACUGCCCUAUGGGUUGUAAACUUCUUUUAUAUGGGAAUAAAAUGUUCCACGUGUGGGAUUUUGUAUGUACCAUAUGAAUAAGGAUCGGCUAACUCCGUGCCAGCAGCCGCGGUAAUACGGAGGAUCCGAGCGUUAUCCGGAUUUAUUGGGUUUAAAGGGAGCGUAGGUGGAUUGUUAAGUCAGUUGUGAAAGUUUGCGGCUCAACCGUAAAAUUGCAGUUGAAACUGGCAGUCUUGAGUACAGUAGAGGUGGGCGGAAUUCGUGGUGUAGCGGUGAAAUGCUUAGAUAUCACGAAGAACUCCGAUUGCGAAGGCAGUUCACUGGACUGCAACUGACACUGAGGCUCGAAAGUGUGGGUAUCAAACAGGAUUAGAUACCCGUGUAGUC